RNAcentral lists this ribosomal RNA (479 nucleotides) under uncultured bacterium. RNAcentral's name for it is "bacterial SSU rRNA". It matches the Rfam family "Bacterial small subunit ribosomal RNA", at positions 30 to 504 of the family's 1533-position model. The record is from RNAcentral.
UGAACGCUAGCGACAGGCCUAACACAUGCAAGUCGAGGGGUAACAGGGAAGCUUGCUUCCGCUGACGACCGGCGCACGGGUGCGUAACGCGUAUGAAACCUACCUUAUACCGGGGGAUAGCCCGAAGAAAUUCGGAUUAAUACCGCAUAACAUAUAAAAGUGGCAUCACUUUAUUAUUAAAACUCCGGUGGUAUAAGAUGGUCAUGCGUGACAUUAGCUGGUUGGUGAGGUAACGGCUCACCAAGGCGACGAUGUCUAGGGGUUCUGAGAGGAAGGUCCCCCACACUGGUACUGAGACACGGACCAGACUCCUACGGGAGGCAGCAGUGAGGAAUAUUGGUCAAUGGACGCAAGUCUGAACCAGCCAUGUCGCGUGCAGGAAGACUGCCCUAUGGGUUGUAAACUGCUUUUAUAUGGGAAGAAUGUGAUCUACGUGUAGAUUUUCGACGGUACCAUAUGAAUAAGCACCGGCUAACUCC